Molecule: non-coding RNA, 58 nt
Organism: Salmo salar (Atlantic salmon)
Lineage: Eukaryota; Metazoa; Chordata; Actinopteri; Salmoniformes; Salmonidae
Source: Rfam
UGGCUCAGUUGGUAGAGCAUGGUGUUUGCAACACCAGGGUUGUGGGUUCGAUUCUCAC